GGCCAGUAACUGGCCUCAGUGGACACAGUGACUUGAUCGCUUUGACACAGCAGUGUUGUACCAUUCAAGCCACAGAGGCCUAUGCCUGGCUGCAGUGGUCAUGAGACCAAGUCACUUCCUUGUCCUGUGGGGGCUGGAAGCAGCCAGGAACGGGGUAGUGGACAUGCGAGUAAGGUUUUUUUUUUUUUAUGAUCGGGGCAUAGGUUAAGACUCCAAGGAUCUAUUAUUUAUAAGCAUGUGUACAGAUAUGAGGAAAGUUUAAGCAUUUUCAGGUAAA
Molecule: long non-coding RNA, 277 nt
Organism: Bufo bufo (common toad)
Lineage: Eukaryota; Metazoa; Chordata; Amphibia; Anura; Bufonidae
Exons: 2
Source: RefSeq, a predicted model, not a curated record